CAGAAAAUAGUUUAAAUAAAAUACUAGUUUUGGGGACUAGAGAUGAGGGGCCUCCUUUUUUUUGA
RNAcentral lists this transfer RNA (65 nucleotides) under Cyrtodactylus chanhomeae. Its description in RNAcentral is "tRNA Pro". The record is from RNAcentral. Lineage: Eukaryota; Metazoa; Chordata; Lepidosauria; Squamata; Gekkonidae.